UACGAAGGGGGCUAGCGUUGCUCGGAAUCACUGGGCGUAAAGCGCCCGUAGGCGGAUUGCUAAGUCAGGGGUGAAAUCCUGGAGCUCAACUCCAGAACUGCCUUUGAUACUGGCGAUCUUGAGUCCGGGAGAGGUGAGUGGAACUGCGAGUGUAGAGGUGAAAUUCGUAGAUAUUCGCAAGAACACCAGUGGCGAAGGCGACUCACUGGCCCGGUACUGACGCUGAGGUGCGAAAGCGUGGGGAGCAAACAGG
This 253-nucleotide ribosomal RNA is filed under the name uncultured bacterium. RNAcentral's name for it is "partial 16S ribosomal RNA". It matches the Rfam family "Bacterial small subunit ribosomal RNA", at positions 524 to 776 of the family's 1533-position model. The record is from RNAcentral.